RNAcentral lists this ribosomal RNA (506 nucleotides) under uncultured bacterium. RNAcentral's name for it is "partial 16S ribosomal RNA". It matches the Rfam family "Bacterial small subunit ribosomal RNA", at positions 29 to 523 of the family's 1533-position model. The record is from RNAcentral.
AGUGAACGCUGGCGGUAGGCCUAACACAUGCAAGUCGAACGGCAGCACAGGAGAGCUUGCUCUCUGGGUGGCGAGUGGCGGAUGGGUGAGGAAUACAUCGGAAUCUACUCUGUCGUGGGGGAUAACGUAGGGAAACCUACGCUAAUACCGCAUACGACCUACGGGUGAAAGCAGGGGACCUUCGGGCCUUGCGCGAUUGAAUGAGCCGAUGUCGGAUUAGCUAGUUGGCGGGGUAAAGGCCCACCAAGGCGACGAUCCGUAGCUGGUCUGAGAGGAUGAUCAGCCACACUGGAACUGAGACACGGUCCAGACUCCUACGGGAGGCAGCAGUGGGGAAUAUUGGACAAUGGGCGCAAGCCUGAUCCAGCCAUACCGCGUGGGUGAAGAAGGCCUUCGGGUUGUAAAGCCCUUCUGUUGGGAAAGAAAUCCAGCUGGCUAAUACCCGGUUGGGAUGACGGUACCCAAAGAAUAAGCACCGGCUAACUUCGUGCCAGCCGCCGCAGUAA